UGCGUAGGCGGUUUGGUAAGUCAGAUGUGAAAUUCCUGGGCUCAACCGAGGAACUGCAUUUGAUACUGCCAGACUAGAGUACUGGAGAGGAGACUGGAAUUCACGGUGUAGCAGUGAAAUGCGUAGAUAUCGUGAGGAAGGCCAGUGGCGAAGGCGAGUCUCUGGACAGUAACUGACGCUGAGGCACGAAGGCCAGGGGAGCAAAACG
RNAcentral lists this ribosomal RNA (208 nucleotides) under uncultured bacterium. RNAcentral's name for it is "partial 16S ribosomal RNA". It matches the Rfam family "Bacterial small subunit ribosomal RNA", at positions 568 to 775 of the family's 1533-position model. The record is from RNAcentral.